AUUGAACGCUGGCGGCAUGCCUAACACAUGCAAGUCGAGCGGAUGAAGGGAGCUUUCUCCUGGAUUCAGCGGCGGACGGGUGAGUGAUGCCUAUGAAUCUGCCUGGUAUUGGUGUAUAACGUCCUGAAACGGGCGCUAAUACCGCAUACGUCCUGAGGGUGAAAGUUGGGGAUCUUCGGACCUCACGCUAUCAGAUGAGCCUAGGUCGGAUUAGCUAGUUGGUGGGGUAAAGGCCUACCAAGGCGACGAUUCGUAACUGGUCUGAGAGGAGGAUCAGUCACACUGGAACUGAGACACGGUCCAGACUCCUACGGGAGGCAGCAGUGGGGAAUAUUGGACAAAGGGCGAAAGCCUGAUCCAGCCAUGCCGCGUGUGUGAAGAAGGUCUUCGGAUCGUAAAGCACUUUAAGUUGGGAGGAAGGGCAGUAAGUUAAUACCUUGCUGUUUUGACGGUACCAACAGAAUAAGCACCGGCUAACUACGUG
Molecule: ribosomal RNA, 484 nt
Filed under: uncultured bacterium
Lineage: Bacteria
Description: partial 16S ribosomal RNA
Rfam family: Bacterial small subunit ribosomal RNA
Source: RNAcentral